Molecule: ribosomal RNA, 1411 nt
Filed under: metagenome
Description: bacterial LSU rRNA
Rfam family: Bacterial large subunit ribosomal RNA
Source: RNAcentral
CGUGGUCUCUAGGCAAAUCCGGAGAUCUUAGAUGAGGGGUGAUAACGAGGAAGCUUGCUUCCGAAGUGAGUGAUACCCUGCUUCCAGGAAAAGCCACUAAGCUUCAGUUGCACACGACCGUACCGCAAACCGACACUGGUGCGCGUGAUGAGUAUUCUCAGGCGCUUGAGAGAACUCUGGAGAAGGAACUCGGCAAAUUGACACCGUAACUUCGGAAGAAGGUGUGCCUUUAGUAGGUGAGCCAUUUACUUGGUGAGCCCAAUGAGGCCGCAGAGAAUCGGUGGCUGCGACUGUUUAUUAAAAACACAGCACUCUGCAAAGACGAAAGUCGACGUAUAGGGUGUGACGCCUGCCCGGUGCUGGAAGAUUAAAUGAUGGGGUGCAAGCUCUUGAUUGAAGUCCCAGUAAACGGCGGCCGUAACGAUAACGGUCCUAAGGUAGCGAAAUUCCUUGUCGGGUAAGUUCCGACCUGCACGAAUGGCGUAACGAUGGCCACACUGUCUCCUCCAGAGACUCAGCGAAGUUGAAAUGUUUGUGAUGAUGCAAUCUCCCCGCGGAAAGACGGAAAGACCCCAUGAACCUUUACUGUAGCUUUACAUUGGACUUUGAACAGAUCUGUGUAGGAUAGGUGGGAGGCUUUGAAGCGGUGCCGCUAGGUGUCGUGGAGCCAACGUUGAAAUACCACCCUGGUGUGUUUGAGGUUCUAACCUUGGCCCGUUAUCCGGGUUGGGGACAGUGUAUGGUAGGCAGUUUGACUGGGGCGGUCUCCUCCCAAAGCGUAACGGAGGAGUUCGAAGGUACGCUAGGCACGGUCGGAAAUCGUGCUGAUAGUGCAUUGGCAUAAGCGUGCUUGACUGCGAGACUGACAAGUCGAGCAGGUACGAAAGUAGGACAAAGUGAUCCGGUGGUUCUGUAUGGAAGGGCCAUCGCUCAACGGAUAAAAGGUACUCUGGGGAUAACAGGCUGAUACCGCCCAAGAGUUCAUAUCGACGGCGGUGUUUGGCACCUCGAUGUUGGCUCAUCUCAUCCUGGGGCUGUAGCCGGUCCCAAGGGUAUGGCUGUUCGCCAUUUAAAGAGGUACGUGAGCUGGGUUUAAAACGUCGUGAGACAGCUUGGUCCCUAUCUUCCGUGGGCGCUGCAAGAUUGAGAGAGCCUGCUCCUAGUACGAGAGGACCGGAGUGGACGCACCUCUGGUGUAUCGGUUGUCACGCCAGUGGCAUUGCCGAGUAGCUAAGUGCGGGAGAGAUAACCGCUGAAAGCAUCUAAGCGGGAAACUCGUCUCAAGAUGAGUCUUGCCGGGGCCUUGAGCCCCCUGAAGAGUCGUUCGAGACCAGGACGUUGAUAGGUCGGGUGUGGAAGCGCAGUAAUGCGUUAAGCUAACCGAUACUAAUUGCUCGUGAGGCUUGACCCU